GGGGUUGUGGCUCAGUGGUAGAGCACUCGUCUUGUACACGCGAGACCUUGGGUUCCAUCCUCAGCACCA
RNAcentral lists this transfer RNA (69 nucleotides) under Ictidomys tridecemlineatus (thirteen-lined ground squirrel). Its description in RNAcentral is "Spermophilus tridecemlineatus (thirteen-lined ground squirrel) tRNA". It matches the Rfam family "tRNA". Rfam says of the family: Transfer RNA (tRNA) molecules are approximately 80 nucleotides in length. Lineage: Eukaryota; Metazoa; Chordata; Mammalia; Rodentia; Sciuridae. The record is from Rfam by way of RNAcentral.